GUUUGCUGUUCACAAAAACAAUCCUCUUUUUCUGAAAUAAACUACUUUCUCCCUAUUCCAUCAGAGUUCUAAACCUUGCAUGGAAACAAAAUUAAAAGAAAUUUGUCACGCGUAGAGCCUCUCCGCAGAUAAUUUGUGAAAAACAACGGGGCAAAUACCAUUGUAUUAUUCAAUUAUGUAUCAUAAUUACGUAUUAUUCAAUUAUGAAAUUAUGUUAUUUAUAAAUAACUAUUUGUUUGCUGUUCACAAAAACAAUCCUCUUUUUCUGAAAUAAACUGCUUUCUCCCUAUUCCAUCAGAGUUCUAAAAUCAGAUCAGUGUAUAUACGCCUUCUAUACUAUAGUACUGCUUGCGUGACUCAGAGCAGGGCGUCUAUAACAAUAGGCGGUGAAACGCCAAUAUGGCAAUGUGUUUGGUUGCUAAAUGUUGUAAAAUGAAGAAAAUAUAGCCCUGUGAAGUUCGAAAAUUUUGUAUGUAUUUGUAUUACGCGCGGUAAAAAUAACCACUUUCGGCUCAAAAAUGGUUAUUUUCCCCCGGGGUAAUGCAAAUAUAUAGAAAAUUUGCGAACUUCACAAGGGCUAUAUUUUCCUCAUUUUACAACAUUUCGCAACCAAACUUUGCAAUUUUACUCAUUUUAAAAUGCUCUUUCCAGCUAUUACAAUGGAUUUCGUUCUUCUUGCCUAGAUCAAAAUUUCGUCUAUAGAAUCAGGGACGGAUAUCAACAAUGCCUAUGGACGUCCGGUGAGUCCAAACCUCCUAAGGCUAAGAGGACUUGUAAACAAAAAUGAACUGACGAAAGCAAAAAAAUAUGUUCAAAAAAUGAAAAUAUUUUGUAUAAGAGAGAAACAGAGUUAUUACUCAGGCAAAAUUCUCCAAUGAUCUCAUCAUCGUCAAAAUGUGUUGAUUAUGCUAACUGUGCUACAUUUAAAAACAGGCAAAAAUUAUGCUCUUUUCAAACAUAAAUUUGAUGUACAUCAGUGUACAUAUCUUUACGCACCAGUUACAAAACGUAAACACGUAUAUUUAACAAUUAUUGGAUGAGGUUUUUGUGAUAUGCGGAAUUAUCAAGGUCGAGGUAAGGGUUAUCAGCCGAGCCGAAGGCGAGGCCGAUAACGCUUAUACCGAGACCUUGAUUUGAUAACUUUGCAUAUCGCAAAAACCGAAUUCAAUAAUUGUUUUAUUAUACAUUUGUUUGUGUUAAAUAGAUACCGCUUGCUAAUCAUCGCAGGCUCAUUUGCUGAUAACUCAGUUAUCUGCUAGCAGAUAACUGAAUUUUCUGUAGGUUGCGUGAUUGCGCGAUUUAACUGCAAGCUCUUGGCCAAUCAAAUUGCUUUUACCAACUACAAUGUAUAAUAAUAUUUAUAAAUACCGGGUGGCCCAAAAAAAAGUACUCCUGUUUGAUUCGUAAUAACUUCUGAACAAGUAAAGUUUUUAAAGAGAAAUAACUUGCAUUAAAUAGAGGAAGGACUAACUUAGAUUUUGAUAUAUUACAGUUGUAUUUAACUUAAAAAUUCACGGAUAUAUUAAUGUUAAAAAUGGGGAGCAUAUUUUGGAAUGUGUCUAAAAUUAGCGAAAAUCGGCAUAUCAAAUAUUAACUCCAGCGUUUGUUUGCUUAAUGACAUAUUAGGCUAACUUGUAUUUCAGCGAAUUAUCGUUAAGGUUUGUAAGGGAUAUGGCGUAGAUUUAGACAUCUUACAUGUAAGUCUUAGCUCAUUGUUUUCUGAAAUAUGAACAUUCGAAAUUAUGCAAGUAUUUAAUAUUAGGUCUUUGCAAACUUAAAUGUACAUGAAAGACUGACCAUGGAAGGCAGGCGCUUAAAUUUUUCGUAUUCUUAAAUAGCCUAAUUUUUUUAUGUUUUUAAUGGGUUCAAACAGACUGAGUAGAUUAUUUCUCGGUGAGAGCAGGAUGAAUAUUCUUUAUUGAAGGAAAUAAUAUUGCUUUUUGCAAAUACACAUCACCGUAUCAACGCUAC
This is a non-coding RNA of Paramuricea clavata, 1971 nucleotides long. Lineage: Eukaryota; Metazoa; Cnidaria; Anthozoa; Malacalcyonacea; Plexauridae. The record is from the annotation of a GenBank genome assembly.